Oncorhynchus kisutch (coho salmon) is the source of this 1152-nucleotide long non-coding RNA. RefSeq lists it as uncharacterized. The record is from RefSeq and is a predicted model, not a curated record. Lineage: Eukaryota; Metazoa; Chordata; Actinopteri; Salmoniformes; Salmonidae. The transcript has 3 exons.
GGAUGGAUGAUACAGUAUGUGGGGAAUGGGAGAGAUGUCUGGAUGGAUGAUACAGUAGGUGGGGAAUGGGAGAGAUGGAUGGAUGAUACAGUAUGUGGGGAAUGGGAGCGAUAUGAUAUGGCGCUCUCUACUGGAGGUUUUGAGAAUUACAGACAUUUGUAUUUUGCUGCUUCCAACUCUCCCUGGGUGAAUAAUACUGAAUGGUGCUUUUAGCCACAUAUGCUUUUGUACAAGGAUAAUAAUGGGUUAUACUUUAGUAUCUCUAAAAGGUUAUGUGAUUAACUGGAUAAUAAUGAGUUAUACUUUAGUAUCUCUAAAAGGUUAUGUGAUUAACUGGAUAAUAAUGGGUUAUACUUUAGUAUCUCUAAAAGGUUAUGUGAUUAACUGUUUGAACUCAAUGAAGGGUUGCACAUUUUUGGUAACUUUCACAAAAUGUUCCUGAAAUCCCGGUUGGAAGUUUCCUGGAAUCAGGAGGGAAUUAACAGAGAAUCUGGGAAUCAUCCAACCAGGAUUUCUGGAAAACCUGGGAAUUUUGCAACCCUAAACUCAAGCUACUUUGGAGUUGAUAUUUAUUGGAUUAGGUGGAUCAUGUACGAGUGCUAUUCUACUUCAUAUUUAUUAGGUGGAUCAUGUACGAGUGCUAUUCUACUUCAUAUUUAUUAGGUGGAUCAUGUACGAGUGCUAUUCUACUUCAUAUUUAUUAGGUGGAUCAUGUACGAGUGCUAUUCUACUUCAUAUUUAUUAGGUGGAUCAUGUACGAGUGCUAUUCUACUUCAUAUUUAUUAGGUGGAUCAUGUACGAGUGCUAUUCUACUUCAUAUUUAUUAGGUGGAUCAUGUACGAGUGCUAUUCUACUUCAUAUUUAUUAGGUGGAUCAUGUACGAGUGCUAUUCUACUUCAUAUUUAUUAGGUGGAUCAUGUACGAGUGCUAUUCUACUUCAUAUUUAUUAGGUGGAUCAUGUACGAGUGCUAUUCUACUUCAUAUUUAUUAGGUGGAUCAUGUACGAGUGCUAUUCUACUUCAUAUUUAUUAGGUGGAUCAUGUACGAGUGCUAUUAUGACAGGAAAGUGAUUCUUUGGAAAUUGUCGAUAUAUUUAGCUCUUUUUAUGGUGCUGAUUGCAUGUCUGUAGUACAUUAUAAUUGUGUUGACUAA